UGAUCUAGUCAAACCAUAAAGAAGAAU
This 27-nucleotide non-coding RNA is filed under the name Rattus norvegicus (Norway rat). Lineage: Eukaryota; Metazoa; Chordata; Mammalia; Rodentia; Muridae. The record is from RNAcentral.